UACGUAGGGGGCUAGCGUUGUCCGGAUUUAUUGGGCGUAAAGAGCGUGUAGGCGGCCAGGUAGGUCCGGUGUGAAAACUCGAGGCUUAACCUCGAGAUGUCAUCGGAAACCAUCUGGCUAGAGUCCGGAAGAGGAAAGUGGAAUUCCUGGUGUAGCGGUGAAAUGCGCAGAUAUCAGGAAGAACACCAAUGGCGAAGGCAGCUCUCUGGGACGGUACUGACACUGAGACGCGAAAGCGUGGGGAGCGAACAGG
RNAcentral lists this ribosomal RNA (253 nucleotides) under uncultured bacterium. RNAcentral describes it as "partial 16S ribosomal RNA". It matches the Rfam family "Bacterial small subunit ribosomal RNA", at positions 524 to 776 of the family's 1533-position model. The record is from RNAcentral.